RNAcentral lists this ribosomal RNA (472 nucleotides) under Charmon sp. RNAcentral's name for it is "partial 16S ribosomal RNA". Lineage: Eukaryota; Metazoa; Arthropoda; Insecta; Hymenoptera; Braconidae. The record is from RNAcentral.
CUGCUCAAUGAUUAUUAUUAAAUAGCUGCAGUAUAAAUAACUGUACAAAGGUAGCAUAAUAAAUAGAUUCUUAAUUAGAAUCUCGAAUGAAAGAUUUAAUGAAAUAAAAUCUGUUUCAAUAAAAUUAAUAAUUAAAAUUUAUUCUAAGUUAAAAUUCUUAGAUUUUUUUAAAAGACGAGAAGACCCUAUAGAAUUUAAUAUAUAAUUAAAAUAAAUUAUAUUAAUUUUAAUAUAAAAUUAAUUUAUAUAUUUAAUUGGGGAAAUUUUUAAAUUAAAUAAAUUUUAAAAUCAAAUAUAACAUUAAUAAAUGAAAUAAAUAGAUCUUUUAUUAAAAAUUAAUAAAAUAAAUUACCUUAGGGAUAACAGCAUAAUUUUUUUUCUAAGAUCAAAUUUAUAAAAAAGUUUAUGACCUCGAUGUUGAAUUAAGAUUAAAUUAAAAUGAAAAAUUUUUAAAAUUUAAGUCUGUUCGACU